CAGCAGUGCUAAGCACUAAGCCACUGUGCCCUCCUAAUUACUGGUUUUUCAUCUAUAGUCACAUGUAGGCGAGUUCUUUCUUGGUGUCUUGGACAUCUAUCCCUCAUUAACCAUUGCAAAAGAAACUAACAGUUGCUGAAGAUCUGAAACAAAAACAGAAAUUGUGGGAGAAACUCAGCAGGUCUGGCAGCAUCUGUGGAGGGAGAAAGCAGAGUUUACGUUUCAGUGACCCUUCUUCAGAACUUAGUAUCUGGUCGUUACUGCAUUGCAGUUUGUGGGACUUUGAUGAUGCACUUUGGCUGCGACAUUUCUCACAUUAUAACAUCAAUUUACUUUAAAAGGAACUAAUGACAUCCUGAGGUCAAAACAGAUGUUAUAUAAAUACAUUUCAUUUGGAGUUAAAAGAUUGUCUCUUUGCCAGGAUGUAGAUGUGAGCUAUCCCUGAUAAGCUCUGCUUCCCUAAUCUUGACCAAAUAAAAGGCUUUCCCAUUUCUCUCAGAAGGAAAUACUGUGACAGUACUUUUGGCUCAAAGAACUAUUGCUAAUUUAACCAAAAAGUAAUAUCUAUUUUUAACCCUUUCAAUAGAAGAUUCACUUUGGCAAGUCAAUGUCUGACAUUGUUUAUGAGACCAAGCCAACUCAGUUUUCAUUGUAUCAAUGUCUGUGGUUGAAAAAAAACUAUUCUGUUUAAAAAGGUCAUUCCCCCUUGAACAAAGAUGUGCAUCCAAGAUGGCUUCAAUCAUGAUGGAGACAUCACUGGCUCAGCCCUCUCCAGAAGUUACCUCUGGUGCCUGAGGCAGGGAAACCUGGCACUGAGUAGUCAGAAGCUUUAUGAAUUGGUCUGGAUCAAAAUCUGGAGCUAGUUUUGGAAAAGUGCACAGUAGUCACAAAAGUUUAUCAGAAUUCUGCAGUUCCCAGCCUCUCACUCAAAAUUAUGGAUACAAAGGAAAGGGAAGGAACUCAAGUUAUACAGAGUGUAUUCAGUCGAUAAGGCUAUAAUCAGGAACUAACCCUCCCAGAUCCAAAAGGCAGACUCAUGUGAGUGUUAAACGAAAAUUAUUAUUGCCAGACCUAAUCUGCCAAGUGGACCAAUUCUGUGUAGAAAUAAUCAAAGCAAAAGACGCAAUCAGUUGGCACUAUAAAUCUUCAAAACAAAACUUCAAAUUGUGCCAUUAAAAAGAAUGUGCUGACUUGCAAGUAUGCCAAAAAAACGGUUGAGAAAGCAUAUGGGAUACUUGCCUUUAUUAGACGAGGCACAGAAUUAAAGAGCAGGGAGCUUAUGUUGGCACUGCAUAAAAUACUAGAAUACUGCGUGCUGCUCUGAUCACCACAUUAUUAUAGGAAGGAUAUGAUUGCACAAGAGAAGGUGUAGAGGAGAUUUACCACGAUGCCGCCUGGGCUGGAGGGUCUGAGCUUCGAGCAAAGAUUGGAUAGGCUGCAGUGUGUUCCUUACUGCAUCGAAGUGGAAUAACAAAAUGUAUGACAUAUUUUGAAGAAAGCCUCAGAGUUGGAAUUUGCAACAUCUUUCAAGGUGCUCAGGAUCCUGCUACCUGAUGCUAAGGCUCUGCAAGUGAUCUACUCCUCAAAGCUACUUUUGAUAACAGGAUACCCACAGAAGUCAUCAAGAAGCAAUGGCUUAUGGUCCCCAUUUGAGAUCAAUAUCUUGUAAAAUAAAUUUGAAUUUCAAGUGACUGACUUGAAAGAUCAAACAAGAGGAUUUCAAGUUUCAAGACUUUU
Molecule: non-coding RNA, 1737 nt
Organism: Chiloscyllium plagiosum (whitespotted bambooshark)
Lineage: Eukaryota; Metazoa; Chordata; Chondrichthyes; Orectolobiformes; Hemiscylliidae
Source: RefSeq, a predicted model, not a curated record